AGAGUUUGAUCCUGGCUCAGAAUCAACGCUGGCGGCGCGCCUAACACAUGCAAGUCGAACGAGAAAGCAGGAGCAAUCUUGUGAGUAAAGUGGCGUACGGGUGAGUAACACGUGGAUCAUCUACCUUCUAGUGGGGGAUAACCCUGGGAAACCGGGGCUAAUACCGCAUAAGCUCGAGAGAGGAAAGCAGCAAUGCGCUGGAAGAGGAGUCCGCGGCCGAUUAGCUAGUUGGUAGGGUAAAAGCCUACCAAGGCUACGAUCGGUAGCCGGCCUGAGAGGGCACACGGCCACACUGGCACUGAAACACGGGCCAGACUCCUACGGGAGGCAGCAGUGGGGAAUCUUGCACAAUGGGGGCAACCCUGAUGCAGCGACGCCGCGUGAGCGAUGAAGCCCUUCGGGGUGUAAAGCUCUUUCGGCAGGGAAGAUUAUGACGGUACCUGCAGAAGCAGCUGCGGCUAACUACGUGCCAGCAGCCGCGGUAAUACGUAGGCAGCAAGCGUUGUUCGGAGUUACUGGGCGUAAAGGGUGUGUAGGCGGUUCUCUAAGUCUGGUGUGAAAUCUCCCGGCUCAACUGGGAGGGUGCGCCGAAAACUGGAGGACUAGAGUGCGGGAUGGGAGAGUGGAAUUCCUGGUGUAGCGGUGAAAUGCGUAGAUAUCAGGAGGAACACCUGUGGUGUAGACGGCUCUCUGGACCGCAACUGACGCUGAGACACGAAAGCGUGGGUAGCAAACAGGAUUAGAUACCCCCGUAGUCC
RNAcentral lists this ribosomal RNA (758 nucleotides) under uncultured bacterium. RNAcentral describes it as "bacterial SSU rRNA". It matches the Rfam family "Bacterial small subunit ribosomal RNA", at positions 8 to 796 of the family's 1533-position model. The record is from RNAcentral.